Molecule: ribosomal RNA, 486 nt
Filed under: Triticum aestivum (bread wheat)
Lineage: Eukaryota; Viridiplantae; Streptophyta; Magnoliopsida; Poales; Poaceae
Description: partial small subunit ribosomal RNA
Source: RNAcentral
GUCUAAACGUUUCUUCUUUUUUGUCUGUGCUGGUGUGUGUGCCCGAGCGGAGGAGAGGGAGAGCGGGUGCUUCAGGAGCGGCGGCGGUGGUGGGUACGGCCGGUGAAGGCCGCUCGAGGCCGCUGCGUGUCGUGCGAGGGCUCGAGGGGUGCCAGGCGCGGAGGGAGGGGAGACCUGUCUAAGAGGCGAAGGCCGGAGAUGGCGGGCGAGCGUUGGGGUGGGGGCACCGAUCCCAAAGCCGGUUCCGAAGCGGCCGCGUAGAGGCCGCCGGGGUCUACGUCUACAUCGUGGGGUACCCUCAAGGGGUAGGUGGUGCCACCGUCUAAGAAGUACCUCUACACUACGUUUUCUUCGUGUUACAAGUCACUACUAAUCCCACUACUACAAAUACGUAGAUCCCUUGGUACCUCUAAAAUUGUACACUAUAAAGGAGUUCGUUUGAUUCAAGAAAACGUUAAACGACGAGUUCAACACCGAGAGGACGUC